Long non-coding RNA from Anopheles merus, 1889 nucleotides. RefSeq lists it as uncharacterized. The transcript has 4 exons. The record is from RefSeq and is a predicted model, not a curated record. NCBI's taxonomy places the organism in Eukaryota, Metazoa, Arthropoda, Insecta, Diptera, Culicidae.
GUAAAACUAAAAUAAAACUAGCAAACGUAAUCAAACCCGUAUAAACAUAUGGUACUUCGUGACACAGGAUGGUGAUUCUGAUCGUUUAGUGUGGUAUUGGUUUAGUUGUUUGGAGUUUUUUGCGUUAGUGAAGUGAAAUGGCAAUGUCUAAAGGCCACUCGGACGAGUCGGAUGAGGAGUUGCGUGGUUUCGCAGAGGAAGAUCCCGAAACCGCAAUUAAUACAGUGUUGGUGAAAGAAGCAUCCUUACUUCAACACCACUCUACGGAGUCGGAUAAUAAGAUAGUCAGGGGAGCCUCGGGGGUGGGCCCUAAGACAGGAGCAUUCGUUGAGCCUGACGGGGUGAAAGAAGUGAAAAAAGCUGAACGUGAUGGCAUAAUCCGGUAUUUGAAGCGUCAGGAAGUGUUUUUGCAAAGUUACGCACAAAGUGACGCAAUGUAUGUUCCAACAAGGUUGAAACGUGUUCGUUCGUAUUGGGAACAAUUCCAAGAAGUAACCCGUGAAAUUCGAUCGAUCGAGGGAAUAGUCCAAAUAAACGAAGAGCUGGUGGACGAAAUCGACGAACAGUACAUGUUGUUGAUCGGGUAAUUCGAGGAAAAGUUGAAGCGUCCAGAAAGUGACAGUGCAGUGGCAGUACGUGUUUUGGACGAACAAAAGGUUCGGCUACAGACACUUGCGCUGCCCGAAUUUUCGGGAAAUUAUGAUGAAUGGUUGCCUUUUUAAAGUUUGUACAAAACGGCAGUCCAUGAAAACAAUAGUUUAACGGAUACAGAAAAGAUAAUGGCUGCUAUUAUUGAAUCCGUCCGUAGCGGCGGCGUACGGCGCUCAUUUGUAAAUGAAUUUAUAACAGCCAAAUGACAGUAUACCACACCUGUUAGUAUGCGUAGUUCAGUGCUUUGUCGUCAUAACUACGAUCAAAGAUACCGUUGAUCGGUUUUCAGAAUCGGUAAUGAAAUUGUGAUUCAGUUGAAAGUGCAAACAUUACGUGCAUGUGUUAUAAUCAUUUCGCCUUUACACUUAAAAUGUUUUUCAUUCUGUUUUCCGACGACGACGAAAUACAGGAAAAAAGAGAUUUGCGUAACAAACGUAGAGUUUUACGGAAAAAAGCAGAUCCUUUUAAACUAUCAGACACAGCGUUUCUUCAAUGUUUCAGGGUUACGAAACCAAUUUUUUCGUUUAUUUUGGAAAAAAUUGAGCCUCAAUUAGAAUGUAUUAAAAGUAAUGGAGUGAGUGCAAAAAUUAAACUUGCUGCUUGUUUGAUUUUCUUCGGAGAGGGCAGAUAUCAGCACGGAACUGGACAAGACUUCCACAUAGCCAUGGCACAAACAACGUUUUCAAACACUUUGCGAGAUUUGAUACCACCUCUUAUCACACUAUUGGGCGAUUGGAUACAAUUGAAUAUGACAGAAUCUGAAAGAAUGGAGGCAAAACAAUAUUUCUUUGAAAAGUCGGGAAUAUCAGACGUGGUGAUGUGUGUAGAUGGGACCCACAUAAGGAUAGUAAAACCCAAAUAUCGCCCCCUUCGCUAUAUCAAUAGAAAAAAAUAUUACAGCCUCAAUGCUAUGAUUGUUUGCGAUCACAAAUAUCGCAUCAGAGCUGCGGACGCUAGAUUUGCAGGAUCUCAUCAUGACGCUUAUAUUUGGAGUGUUAGUCCCAUUCGCAAACAUUUUAGAGAUCUACAUAGUUCUGGAAUAACUGACAAGUUGUUGGGAGAUGCAGGGUAUCCUUCCGAACCAUGGCUUAUAACACCCAAUCGUAACCCAGAUUCAGGCACACAAGAAUCUAUUUUUAAUACAUUUCAUGCCAGAGGACGAAACAUCGUUGAGAGAACAAUAGGAAUACUGAAAUCCAAAUUUAGAUGCCUGCUUGGAGCAGAUGGGCGUCUUAAUU